AGCGCGCGCGUGCGCGGCAGCUGCCGCUGCUGAAUAGCUGAGAGGUGCACUGGGGCGGCAAGCUGGGCUCGGAGUGCAGCGGGGUCAGGAUGGACGAGGACGUGUUGCACCCUGAAGAGCCUCAUCAUCCGCGAGAGUGGGGUGGGCAAGUACAGCCUGCUCUUGAGGUUCACAGAUGACACCUUUGAUCCAGAACUUGCAGCAACAAUAGGCAGUUCACUUUACAUCGCUUUCCAGACAACUGGAAUUUGAGGCAACGUCUAUGACAGCGAUCCCUUUGUUUUCACCUGGCGUGUGUUCUCAUCAGACUGCUUGCCGUCACAUCGUGCUUCAGAAAUGCAGGAAUCACAUGAACCUGUCCAUCCACAGAUGAAGUGGUAAAUAAACUGCCAUAUUAGAUACAUGACGGUGUACUCUUCAGCCAUAAAGCUUCGGGAAACCCUGUCAUCAGCAACCACGUGGAGGAACCUCUCCAUCCACAGAUGAAGGGAUCAGGAAACUCUGGUAUAUAUACUGAAGGGAAAUGCUUUUUGGCUACCAAAAUAAUGAAAUUAUGUCGUUUGGAGCAACACAGAAGAACCUGUCCAUCCACAAAUGAAGACAUCAAGAAACUCUAGGAUGUACACAAGGCAAAACACUUCAGCCAUCAGAAUCAUGACAUAUGUCACGUGGAGCAACCCAGUUGACCCGCCAAGGCUGCCUCUUCCUCCACAGGCGGAUGAACGCUGUGGCUGCUGCUCCUGCCUGGGCCGUGCCCUGACGCUGCCAACACCACUGCUCCUCUAUUUAUAAGUCUUAAUAGGGUUGCUGACCCAGCUAUAGCUGAACAGCUGACAUGUACCUCAUGCUAAGCCGGGUGCUUCAUAUGUAUCUAACUUGAAAAAUGCUGAGCUACUUACCUUAACACCAUUAACUUUUACUUAAAAGUUUGUUUUUCUUUUUUAAUCCAAGCGAGCUCCAAACAAGUUUUAGGAGGCUCCUCAAAGCCAGCAAAGACUUUAACUGAAAGUAGAAUUUCAAAGUACUGUAAUUGGAUUAGAAACCAAACCCCAAAAUUAAAUGUGAAGAUUAGUGUCCGUACUGAACCGGCCCAUCUGGUGGACACAGGAUUUGUGUUAUCGACCACAGUGUUACCCAGGAUUCAUGAUUUCUGGAGUUUGUCAGUGUUAAGAAAAUUGGAUUGAGUACCAAAUACAGCAGAGCAAACCCAGAUUUGAGGCAAGGACCCUAUAAAAUAGUCAUGCAGUACUUUUGUUAGGGUUCUGGGCACAAAUCUUCCUCAUCCCUCCCACCUUCUCCUGGCCUGCCUGUAAACCCGAACCACCAGGUACCUCAAUUUUCUUCAAGGUCAGGCUGUUCUUAAUGUUGCUAAAUUGAUCAAGGAAAUGGGUGAGCCACUGCUUGCUCUGCACAUAGUCCUCAGGGUGCUCAGGGUUCAGGCAGUACAGCAGCUGCAUGGUUUUGGCCCGAAGGAGUAACUGGUCCAUUCCUAGGCUCUCCCCAAAGAUGUGUCUUCUGAAGAAGCUGGUCAGGUAGAGGGGGUGUCCACCAUGGUUGUAGAUGGGGAAGGAGAUGCUGCUCAGGUCAAGCAUUUUGUUCACCUGCCAGGCGUAUAGGAGCGGGUUGGGGGCACCACGCAGAGCAUUUGUACCUGGCCCACACCUGCCGGUACUGGAUCUGGCUUACGUUUCCCUGCGCCACACACAGAUCCUGCACUGUACUGUCCAGUCAACUGACUUCAGCAAAGAUGUCUGGGUCCAGCAGUGAGUUACUGUGGAAGGCCACCAGAAUGGAGGUGAUAUCAGCCUCGGUGCUCUUCCUGGAGGCGGAGAAGUGGUUGGAGUCCUCUGUGGUGAAAUGGCCCUGCAUCAAAGUGGGAGACAUUCAGAAUCAAGGUGAAAUUGGCCUCAGUGCUGGUCCUGGAGGCGGAGAAGCGGUCAGUGUCCUUGGUGGUGAAGUGGCCCUGCAUGAAACAUCACUCCCCCUUGGCCGGUGAAAGAAUAAAAUAAAGCUGGCCACUUGCAUUUCCCUUUCAGUUUAUAGAAUACAUGUUUUGGAAAUAGUGUCUUCUAGAUCUGUCUUUUUCUUUUCUGAUUUAACUUAUUAGCAAAGCUAAGUUUUGUCUCUUCAUAGUGUUGCUUUUGUUUCAAAAGCUUCUAUGAGAUUUGUUUACUGUGUGUGGCUAUAUGGCAGACAAUUUGUUCAAGUGGCCUGCCUCCUCUUUCUCACAUUGACCCCUUCAGGAGGAGUUUUUCAAGGGUAAUGAGUCUUCUCUCUGAGAUAAGAAUAGUAGCCAGAAUUAAGAAGGUAAAGUGCAUUGUGGAAUUAAAUCCUGAUUCCAGUGGAAACUUAGUUUAUGGCCUUAGACAAAUGUUUACACUUCUGAUCCUCAGUUUUCUCUCAAAGAACUUCUGCUCAUAUCCAAUUCCUAUUAAGUGGAAGUACUCUAACCUGGUAUUACUAAUAUUCGGUUAGAUUUUUUCCUAAUUUUAGGUGUUAGAAUAUAUCCUAAUGUUACCAGUUCUUCACUGUUACUAAAGUGCACGUUAGAUUUCUUCAAUGAUUUUUUUUAAUUGGCAUGGUUGAUACAAAGCAUCCUUCUAUCCAAAUACUGUGCUCAGUCGCCUAAGUGAUAGUUUAGAACCAUACUAUCUCUCUCUGGAAAGAAUGCUGGGGCUCCUGACUACACACUUUGACUAGAGGGGAAAAUACUCCUCUUGUAUUUAUGAUGGUUUUUCUUUCUACUUGAUUAAGAAGAGAGUACAAAAAGGUGCUUAUUGAAGCAUUGUCAAUUUGGGAACAAGAUUCUCAGGAAUGAAAAAUUUGUGACUGUUCUCAGCAUGAAAGGGAGAGAGAUGAUUACCUGAUCAUUACGUGCUUAUUUGAAAGUCACUUUCCUCCCAUGUCUCAGCAUCUCACUUUUUAGAAUGCACACUGAAUGCCUGGGAUCUCUUUGUUUUAGAACAGACAAAGUUGCAUUGUUAAAGGAAUAAUAUUUCCAGGGAAAAGGCUCAGUGCUCAACGGUUACUCUAUAAAGAGAUUUGAAAAGAAAGUCAAGGGAAGGUAAGGAGGGCAACAUGGCUACCAAUCUCGUGGGUUCUACUAGCGUUAUUUCAUGAAAAAUGUCACCUUUUUAUAGGAGAGAAUAAAUCUGAGAAUCAACUGGCAUCUAAA
This is a long non-coding RNA of Macaca mulatta (Rhesus monkey), 3175 nucleotides long. RefSeq lists it as uncharacterized. The record is from RefSeq and is a predicted model, not a curated record. Lineage: Eukaryota; Metazoa; Chordata; Mammalia; Primates; Cercopithecidae.